CCUACGGGUGACAGCAGUGAGGAAUAUUGGUCAAUGGACGAGAGUCUGAACCAGCCAAGUAGCGUGAAGGAUGACUGCCCUAUGGGUUGUAAACUUCUUUUAUAUGGGAAUAAAAUGUUCCACGUGUGGGAUUUUGUAUGUACCAUAUGAAUAAGGAUCGGCUAACUCCGUGCCAGCAGCCGCGGUAAUACGUAGGGUCCGAGCGUUAUCCGGAUUGAUUGGGUUUAAAGGGAGCGUAGGUGGAUUGUUAAGUCAGUUGUGAAAGUUUGCGGCUCACCCGUAAAAUUGCAGUUGAAACUGGCAGUCUUUAGUACAGUAGAGGUUGGCGGCAUUCGUGGUGUAGCGGUGAACUGCUUAUAUAUCACGAAUAACUCCGAUUGCGCAGGCAGCUCACUGGACUGCAACUGACACUGAGGCUCGAAAGUGUGUGUAUCAAACAGGAUUAGAUACCCUAGUAGUC
Molecule: ribosomal RNA, 460 nt
Filed under: uncultured bacterium
Lineage: Bacteria
Description: partial 16S ribosomal RNA
Rfam family: Bacterial small subunit ribosomal RNA
Source: RNAcentral